Molecule: long non-coding RNA, 266 nt
Organism: Myotis brandtii (Brandt's bat)
Lineage: Eukaryota; Metazoa; Chordata; Mammalia; Chiroptera; Vespertilionidae
Exons: 4
Source: RefSeq, a predicted model, not a curated record
CAGGAAUAACCAACAGUCACCUCGCCAGCUCAGAGUCAACAGCAGACAGACAAGACUCACACACUGGAGAGAUCGAUCUUCAAGAGUCAUCUGGUGGCCCAGUAAUCCUGGAACUGAUGGAACUGGUACCAGCACCGUGGACAACACACCACCACACACACUGGAAAAGCAAAUCAAAACCACAAUGGAAUAACAUCUCACACCAGGCAGAAUGGCUAUUAUAAAAAAGAUAUGUGUUGAGGCCGGUUUGGCUCAGUGGAUAGAGC